Molecule: long non-coding RNA, 206 nt
Filed under: Vitis vinifera (wine grape)
Lineage: Eukaryota; Viridiplantae; Streptophyta; Magnoliopsida; Vitales; Vitaceae
Description: long non-coding RNA (VVIN_LNC000992)
Source: RNAcentral
AAAAAUCAAAACAGGAAAAAAUCAGGAAUUUUUGGGCUUAUUUUCAUUCUCGUUCCCCACUUUUCUCAGCAUCCAAACAGGAAAAUAUAAACGAAAAAAAAAAACUAACAGGUGAUAAAAAAAAGCUCAGAUCUCAUUCUAUUUUCAUUCUCGUUUCCUACUUUUCUCAGCAUCCAAACAGGAAAAUAUAAACGGGAAAAAAAGAA